RNAcentral lists this ribosomal RNA (253 nucleotides) under uncultured bacterium. RNAcentral's name for it is "partial 16S ribosomal RNA". It matches the Rfam family "Bacterial small subunit ribosomal RNA", at positions 524 to 776 of the family's 1533-position model. The record is from RNAcentral.
UACGUAGGGGGCUAGCGUUGUCCGGAAUCAUUGGGCGUAAAGCGCGUGUAGGCGGUCCGGUAAGUCCGCUGUGAAAGUCGGGGGCUCAACCCUCGGAUGCCGGUGGAUACUGUCGGGCUUGAGUACGGAAGAGGCGAGUGGAAUUCCUGGUGUAGCGGUGAAAUGCGCAGAUAUCAGGAGGAAUACCAAUUGCGAAGGCAGCUCGCUGGGACGUUACUGACGCUGAGACGCGAAAGCGUGGGGAGCAAACAGG